RNAcentral lists this ribosomal RNA (843 nucleotides) under Micrococcus endophyticus. RNAcentral describes it as "bacterial SSU rRNA". It matches the Rfam family "Bacterial small subunit ribosomal RNA", at positions 393 to 1246 of the family's 1533-position model. The record is from RNAcentral. Lineage: Bacteria; Bacillati; Actinomycetota; Actinomycetes; Micrococcales; Micrococcaceae.
GACGCCGCGUGAGGGAUGACGGCCUUCGGGUUGUAAACCUCUUUCAGUAGGGAAGAAGCGAAAGUGACGGUACCUGCAGAAGAAGCACCGGCUAACUACGUGCCAGCAGCCGCGGUAAUACGUAGGGUGCGAGCGUUAUCCGGAAUUAUUGGGCGUAAAGAGCUCGUAGGCGGUUUGUCGCGUCUGUCGUGAAAGUCCGGGGCUUAACCCCGGAUCUGCGGUGGGUACGGGCAGACUAGAGUGCAGUAGGGGAGACUGGAAUUCCUGGUGUAGCGGUGGAAUGCGCAGAUAUCAGGAGGAACACCGAUGGCGAAGGCAGGUCUCUGGGCUGUAACUGACGCUGAGGAGCGAAAGCAUGGGGAGCGAACAGGAUUAGAUACCCUGGUAGUCCAUGCCGUAAACGUUGGGCACUAGGUGUGGGGACCAUUCCACGGUUUCCGCGCCGCAGCUAACGCAUUAAGUGCCCCGCCUGGGGAGUACGGCCGCAAGGCUAAAACUCAAAGGAAUUGACGGGGGCCCGCACAAGCGGCGGAGCAUGCGGAUUAAUUCGAUGCAACGCGAAGAACCUUACCAAGGCUUGACAUGUUCUCGAUCGCCGUAGAGAUACGGUUUCCCCUUUGGGGCGGGAUCACAGGUGGUGCAUGGUUGUCGUCAGCUCGUGUCGUGAGAUGUUGGGUUAAGUCCCGCAACGAGCGCAACCCUCGUUCCAUGUUGCCAGCACGUAAUGGUGGGGACUCAUGGGAGACUGCCGGGGUCAACUCGGAGGAAGGUGGGGACGACGUCAAAUCAUCAUGCCCCUUAUGUCUUGGGCUUCACGCAUGCUACAAUGGCCGGUACAAUGGG